UAGUUCAUCGAAAAGCAUCAAAGUCAUGGAGAUGAUUUGGAUUCACCACCUUCACACUGCCAAUGCACGAGAGACCUUUGGAAAGAAGUUUUUUGGAGUUUUUUCCCAGAAACCUGUCCUUCGAAAGAACUUGAGGAACUCCAACAGAAAAGGAAGUGGACUUGCUACACAAUGGAAAUUAUUAAUUUUGAAGUGUUAA
This is a non-coding RNA of Caenorhabditis elegans, 199 nucleotides long. Lineage: Eukaryota; Metazoa; Nematoda; Chromadorea; Rhabditida; Rhabditidae. The record is from Ensembl.